GCAGCCAAAAUUGUCAUUGGCUACUUAAUUUCAGAUGUGGAGUGAAAUCUAGCUAGCUAGCUAGCUAGCCCCCUCCGUGAUAAUAGAAACAGCACAAAGGCACUAUGAUUAUGUCAUUAUUUGUGGGGAGGUUCACGUGCUAACAUGCCUGCUGUAUCUGCAUUUCUAUUUUGAAGUCGGGAAAUAUAGAAACGCAGUCCCCUGAUUUUUGCAGCUAUGGCUCUAUCCAGUUUUGUGGAUGCCAGUCUACCAGAAACAAUGCAAAAUUGCAAACUAGCCACCUACGCAGCAUCGCUUCAGACUGGCGAAAUUGACGUACGUGAACCAACCCAAUUCCUUCGUCUCAGAAAUGUGUCGUCACACAGCCCGAACAGCAACAACAAACAUGGAGGAAUAUGCCCGUGAACCUUGGGCUUUCAGCACAGACUAAAAGGUAGUGCCAAUGCUGUGAGAAUAAGAGCUCCACAGAUCGGCGGUAGCUUUGCUGUGUGGGGUGGACUUUUCUCAACGAUCGACUGUGGUCUGGUCCAUAUUCGAGGGAAAGAGGAUCCCUGGAACUCUAUAACUAGUGGAGCGAUGACUGGGGCAGUCCUGGCUGCACGCAGUGGGCCCUUGGCUAUGAUGGGGUCAGCUAUGAUGGGGGGCAUCCUACUGGCCCUGAUCGAGGGCUUUGGGAUCCUUCUGACCAGAUACACAGCACAGCAGUUUCAGAACCCAAGUCCCUUUGUGUAUGACCCCAGCCAGCUUCCUCCGAAGGAUGCCAGCCAACAGCAGACUGGGUUCCAGUAGAGCCCAACUUGGUCUGGAGCUAAUGAGCCUAGCUACAGCCCUGCAUACUGUGACAGUCUCUGACUAGAGAGGAGAGAGGCGCUCUGUCACCUGACCACACAGCUGUCAGCAACCUCAGGGGAAUGGAAAUAUCUAACCUAAGCCCCCAUCCUCUCAAUGGCAAUAAGAAUGUAGAUGCACUUUAGUGUUAUUCCUCAGGGCUAGAUUACAGUUGAUUUGAGUUAUUUAUGAAUAUAUGUUUGUGUAUACCGGUACACCAGUGUUCCUUCUGACUAGUCCCGAAUAAUACACACUUUUAUCAGAUACAUUUGUGCCCAAACCCGUCAUUUCAUGGUGACUGUAAGAAUGUUGGUGCUUUAUUACCACAGCUACAGAAAUAGAAUGGGUAGCUGAAAAUGUAUAGGCAUUAAUACAUAGGAUUAGAAAUUGCCUCAGUCUUAUCAGAAGUGUGUCAGGUAUGGCACAAUCAAUGUCGUUCAAAACGGAUGUAUUUUCUCUUGCUUGUAAAAAUGCAAUGCACUGAGGGAGGAGAACUGCACUAUCAUUUAAUUUCCUCUCCUCUUUUAUAAUUGUAUGGCUUAUAAGGGUCUAAAUCACAUCACAAACGCACCAAUGAUUUGUUUCCAUUUGUGAAACUCAGAUAGCUGGAAUGGAAUGUCAUGACCAAAUACAGUCACAGCUCAUUUGUUCUGCUGUUUAUGUCACUACCUUCAUUGGAUGCCUGCCAUUAUGCCAUGCAUUACUAGACAUUCCCGCUAUCUAAGCACUAUAAGGUCUAUCCACUUUGAUGAACCAAAGCACUUUCUUACUCCAUCUCUCUGUUAUUGUGUUGAGAAAAAUUAGAUGGGUUUUGUGACACAAUGAAGAUAUGUUUUGUAAUGUAUAGAAUGCUGUACAAUAGUUGUUGGUUUUAAUGUAUUUAUGAUGCAGAAAAAUAAAUGUUUACAGUGUAAUUGACUGGAAAAAUUA
This is an RNA transcript of Oncorhynchus kisutch (coho salmon), 1758 nucleotides long. It is a transcript of the gene named mitochondrial import inner membrane translocase subunit Tim17-B-like, with no coding region annotated. The record is from RefSeq and is a predicted model, not a curated record. The transcript is spliced from 5 exons. Lineage: Eukaryota; Metazoa; Chordata; Actinopteri; Salmoniformes; Salmonidae.